RNAcentral lists this ribosomal RNA (468 nucleotides) under uncultured bacterium. RNAcentral describes it as "partial 16S ribosomal RNA". It matches the Rfam family "Bacterial small subunit ribosomal RNA", at positions 28 to 507 of the family's 1533-position model. The record is from RNAcentral.
GACGAACGCUGGCGGCGUGCUUAACACAUGCAAGUCGAACGGAAAGGCCCUGCUUUUGUGGGGUGCUCGAGUGGCGAACGGGUGAGUAACACGUGAGUAACCUGCCCUUGACUUUGGGAUAACUUCAGGAAACUGGGGCUAGUACCGGGUAGGAGCUCCUGCUGCAUGGUGGGGGUUGGAAAGUUUCGGCGGUUGGGGAUGGACUCGCGGCUUAUCAGCUUGUUGGUGGGGUAGUGGCUUACCAAGGCUUUGACGGGUAGCCGGCCUGAGAGGGUGACCGGCCACAUUGGGACUGAGAUACGGCCCAGACUCCUACGGGAGGCAGCAGUGGGGAAUAUUGCACAAUGGGCGGAAGCCUGAUGCAGCAACGCCGCGUGCGGGAUGACGGCCUUCGGGUUGUAAACCGCUUUCGCCUGCGACGAAGCGUGAGUGACGGUAAUGGGUAAAGAAGCACCGGCUAACUACGUG